ACAUUUUUGGUCCACUGCUUGGGAUCCUUCACCUGGUACAGCCUUCGCUCUAGGCUGAGUGAGCAGCCUAGGCAGCCUGACUUAAGGAUGAAUCUGAGCCGCCAGUCCCUAACGAAGCAUCUCCAAGAACCCAGUUGGGGGGAAAGCAUGAGGAGAUGGGUGAGGAGUGGGCAAGAAUCAAAACACCACUUGGCAACAAAGCCCAAGCUCUGCGUUUAGCGAUGUAAAACCUGGAUUGACAGAUCACUGGAGGAUCACUGCCACCAAGGUCCCUCGGAUGCAGGGCUCGCCACAGUCCUCCUGUGCUAGGACUUUCCGCUCCUCCGACCUGGAGGAUCCUCCUUGUCCUCGGACUCCAGGCUUCCGCUUUCGUCUCCCGCUGGGCUGCAGCCCGCCCCCGCCCGCCCUGGGCACAGCUGCGUUACUCACGUCCUUCUUCACUUCAGUGAGGUCCUCCUCGGUGAGGGACGGUGCGGUGGGCUCCAUGGUGGAGGCGGGAGAUGGCGCUUCUUCCGGGUCCGGGAGCUCGGGCUGCGCCGCCCCGCCCUGGCUGGGGGCUUCGGCCUCCGGGUAAUGGGGAAGAAGGAGAGGAGGCGGAGCGGGUCGGGAGAAAGACGGCCGCCCCUUCGGGAACAGAGGGACUCGGGGGUCAAACCGUAGCGCUUCCGGCCCCGCCUCUGAGGUCGACGGCGACGCGAAUCUACGCGACGCGACGCGGAGCUCGGAGCAGCGUUCCUUCCCUCUCGUAGAGGCUCAGGCGCAGGCACCGCCCCACGGCGAGGCGCGUCGCUUAGCAGAGCCCGCCCUGUCUCUGCGGCAGCCUAUCGACGCCAGCCCGCGGGCCGAUCCUGUUCCCGCCCCCGACCGGAGCCUUUCGGGUGGCUCCGCCCACAGCGGGCGUUUCCUCAAGCCACGCCUGCGCAGGUCGUCGGGGGAGACUGAUGAAGAGACGACUAUCCCCAGACCGUAUUUUAACUACUAUGGCGCUGUGUAAGAAGCAACCUGAGAAGUGUGGAUGAAAAGCUACAGGUAGAGCCCUGGGCCCAAGACGGUGGCUUGGACAACAUGCUAAAUAAACUAUAAACUAGAUGGUAUUUGAAGCUACGAGAGUAGAUAAAAAUGACAGGAGGACCAAGGAGAAACUUGGGAACGCCAAUGUUUAAGAAACGGGAAAGCAAAAAAAAAAAAAAACACACACAAAAAAACAAUGUAACCAGAGCCACAAAAACCAGAAUCACAGCAAGGGAUUCUGAUGUUUACAUUAUGUCCUGUUUCCAUGUUGACACAUUACACAAGGACAGUUUUUUUCUAAUUGCUUAAUUUUUCAUCAUCUUCCAUCCGAUUUACUGAACCAUCCUUAACUUUAGGAUGAAUCCUUUCAUUUAACAAAUGUGUUUUGAAUGUCCACUAUGUGCCAGACACUGUUCUAGGUGCUAGGAAAACAGCUGUGAACAAAACCAAUAAAAAUCUCUUUCCUCAUG
This 1481-nucleotide long non-coding RNA is filed under the name Homo sapiens (human). RNAcentral describes it as "HSALNT0293496". Lineage: Eukaryota; Metazoa; Chordata; Mammalia; Primates; Hominidae. The record is from RNAcentral.